This 608-nucleotide ribosomal RNA is filed under the name uncultured soil bacterium. RNAcentral describes it as "bacterial SSU rRNA". It matches the Rfam family "Bacterial small subunit ribosomal RNA", at positions 39 to 635 of the family's 1533-position model. The record is from RNAcentral.
GCGGUCGCCUAACACAUGCAAGUCAGCGAGAACCAGGGCUUCGGCCCUGGGGACAGCGGCGAACGGGUGAGUAACACGUGGAUAACCUGCCCUCGGCACCGGAAUAGCCCGGGGAAACUCGGAUUAAUGCCGGAUAGCCCCACAUCCCUGCGGGGAACGUGGGAAAAGGUAGCUUCGGCCUCUGGCCGAGGAUGGGUUCGCGGUGGAUUAGCUUGUUGGCGGGGUAACGGCCCACCAAGGCGACGAUCCAUAGCUGGUCUGAGAGGACGAUCAGCCACACUGGGACUGAGACACGGCCCAGACUCCUACGGGAGGCAGCAGUGGGGAAUCUUGCGCAAUGGGCGAAAGCCUGACGCAGCGACGCCGCGUGCGGGAAGAAGGCCUUCGGGUUGUAACCCGCUUUCAGGAGGGACGAAGCCACUCGGGUUAAUAGCCCAGAGGGUGACGGUACCUCCAGAAGAAGCCCCGGCUAACUACGUGCCAGCAGCCGCGGUAAUACGUAGGGGGCAAGCGUUGUCCGGAUUCAUUGGGCGUAAAGAGCGUGUAGGCGGCCAGGUAGGUCGGUUGUGAAAACUGGAGGCUCAACCUUCAGAGGUCGACCGAAACCA